Molecule: long non-coding RNA, 2816 nt
Organism: Aethalodelphis obliquidens (Pacific white-sided dolphin)
Lineage: Eukaryota; Metazoa; Chordata; Mammalia; Artiodactyla; Delphinidae
Exons: 2
Source: RefSeq, a predicted model, not a curated record
GAAGGAAGGAAGGAAGGAAAGGGAGGUGGAGGAAGAAAAGUUAAGGAAAAGAAACAAAGGAAGGAAGAAAGCAAACUACCGAUAAAACCCAAACCUGUCAUGAGAAAACGAAGAGUCAGGAGAGAAGUGAUAUUUCUGAGAUCACAGAGGAAGGCGAUGACACCAUCAUGAUGACAAGUCUGGUCCUCUCCUUCCCAACUCAGGACUCCAUGUUUGAGGACAGAAGCUUCAUUAGCUCCUUCUUCCUCCCCUUCACCCCACAACGCAAGGGUGCCCAAACAGAGGCAGCAAGCUCAGGAUGUCCAAUGAAGCAAAAAGCAAGGCCCAGACACUCUCUCAGAAACCUCAGCCUAGCUCUCCAGGCACCCCCUAUCGACGGAGAGAAGCUUGUACCUAAGAGGAUAUCCUUCGAAUCGUGUCCUUCAUCAUUGACUGAUAACAUCAGUCAAAAUAAAUGUUUUACCAGGUACAGGGGGAAAAAAAAACACCACCAUCAUUUUUCUUCAUGAUGUGCAUUUCUCAGGAAGAAGAAUCCUUAUUCCAGGGUUAUCGGGUGAAGUGACCAAACUACCGAUUUAGUGAGCGACAUUUGCGUAUUUCAUCCAAGGGGAAGAAAGGAAGGGGGAGGAAAUGCACAUGUACUGAACCUGUACAUCAUGCAUCUUCCUAAGCGUUUUACAUACAGAACAGUUCAUCUAACCCUCACUACAACCAUAUAGGGUAAGUCUGUCAUCCACAUUUUACAGAGGCGGUUAGAGAAGUUAGAUAACCUGCUGCUGUCAAACAGCUAGUGGAGAGGUCUCUCUGGCUUGAAACAUGGGUCCUUUUCCAGUAUACUUUAAUUAACAGGCACAUCACAGAUGUAGUAUUGAUAAAAAACAAAAACAAAACACAAAACAGCAAGGGCUUCACGAUAGUUUUUACUAGAGAGCUCUAAAAGUUAAAAGAGCCACUACAUUCUCUUAAAGGGCCCUUCUUGGCCCAGAAUCUCUGAGUUUCACAUGGCCUGGGACCUAGAUUUCAGCUUCUUGUUGAUCCUCAAAGGACAUGAUAGUGGCUACGGACUAUCUACCUCAGGAGCACAAAAUCCUUAAGGAAAAAAAGCUGGUGGCUUUAUCAGACAAAACCCAAAGCAAUGAUCUGUUGUUUUAACUACUAAUUCUGCUAUCUGGUUUAUUUCCCUUUGGUGGCCCUUGAUGGAGAGUGUAAUAUUAAUGUAUUUAUUAAUACAUCAAUCUUGCUAUUGACAUAAUUGUAUAUUAUAACAAUAAUUACAUUAUUAUCACUGUCACUAUUACUAUAAUGUCACAGGUUGGGUUCUCCAGAAGCAUAGGUGAGAUGGAAUUUAGGGGGCAAGAUAUUUAUUGGGGAUCAACAGAUGUGAAGGGAAAAGGGGAGGAAAUAAGAUAGAACAGGGUGAAGAGCGCUCGAAAAGCCUGAGCAUCAGCAAGGGGCUCUGGAAUGAAUAUUAUCCACCAGGGUUGUCCCCUUCAGGCCAAAAUGGUCCAACCUUUAUCUAACUGCCUCAUUCAGUCACUAGAGGCUGGAUGCUCUGGGAAGAAUGUGAUGGUACAAGCUCUCUAUGGCAGAGGCAGACCCUGAAAGAGCUGAUAGCUAUAGGCUCUCUGCCGACCACACUCCUUAUAGCUGGACAGCAAGUCCUUUUUGAAGGAGGAGCCAGAUGGUACAUCUUUAUUUACCAAAACGAAUGAUACCUCCUGAUAUCUGAAUGGGGCUUUACAAUUGAUGACAUUUUCAUAUCUGUUAGCACAUUUGCUCCUUGCAAUCCAAAUCUGAACAUGAUGUUUUGUAGUAGAUUCCAUUGUUGUCCAAAAUACUUGUUCUUCCCUAUGGAAGGAUUACUUCCUCCCCUACUGACAUCAGGCUCAGUCAUGUGACUUGUGUUGGCCAGUGAGUUAUGAGUGAAAGUGAUGAGCAUCACUUCUGAGCAAAAGCUUUAAGAGCCGUUACAUGUGCUGUCAUCUUCUCUUUUUUUUCCCCUCUGCUAAGAGUCCAGGUUGUCCCACACAGGAGCUGCUCCUUCAGUUCCUGAGUAAAGGCACUGGAGCAAAAACUGCAGGCGCUCCACAAUGGACAUGAACGUGAGUGAGUUAGAUUCCUCCGUUGUCUCAAGCCACUAAGAUAUUUGGGGAUGUUUGUUGCUACAGCAUAACUUAUCCUAGCCUGACUGAGACACACUCCCAUCACUUACAAGCCCAUGCUCCUCAGCAAGGCUUUAUAUAAUCCCACCUCUGCCCGUCUCUCCAGUCUUAUCUCCCACCAUGCCUCACCUUGCUUUGUUCCAACCACAUCAAACACAUUUAUCUUCUUGAAAAGCUCCUACCCCUUCUCUAAGAUGUAGCUCAAAUAUUCUCUAUGCAAUUUUCCCUCAUCCCCUCUCCCUAGGCAGAAAUAACUCCACCAAUCUUUCUCAUUGGGCUGUGUAGAAACUAUUUUGUUAAUCCCUUCCCAGUGCCUAGAACGCUGUCAGGCACUCAGCAGGGGGUCAAUAACAUUUGUUGGAAUAAAUCAUAGUGUAUAUUGAUGUGUUAGCGUGUGCCAGGAACUGUACUAAGUGUUUGAAGAAGAUUAUUUAACUUAAAUUAAGGUAGGUAUUACUACUGUUCCCUAUUUUUUUUAAUGUUUUUAGGUUUAUCCAUUUUACUUUUUUUUUAUUUCUGUGUGUAUUCACAGUAUGACUUGUCAGUAGUAAUAAGAAUUAUAAUUAGGCUCUAAAUACAUAGGUCAUUGUUGAUCACAUAAUGAGAAGUUCCUAGAAGAGAAUACUAGGUAGGGGAAGAGAGAGAAUACCAAAA